This 495-nucleotide ribosomal RNA is filed under the name uncultured bacterium. RNAcentral's name for it is "partial 16S ribosomal RNA". It matches the Rfam family "Bacterial small subunit ribosomal RNA", at positions 28 to 505 of the family's 1533-position model. The record is from RNAcentral.
GAUGAACGCUGGCGGCGUGCCUAAUACAUGCAAGUCGAGCGAACAGAUGAGGAGCUUGCUCCUCUGACGUUAGCGGCGGACGGGUGAGUAACACGUGGAUAACCUACCUAUAAGACUGGGAUAACUUCGGGAAACCGGAGCUAAUACCGGAUAAUAUAUUGAACCGCAUGGUUCAAUAGUGAAAGACGGUUUUGCUGUCACUUAUAGAUGGAUCCGCGCCGCAUUAGCUAGUUGGUAAGGUAACGGCUUACCAAGGCAACGAUGCGUAGCCGACCUGAGAGGGUGAUCGGCCACACUGGAACUGAGACACGGUCCAGACUCCUACGGGAGGCAGAAGUAGGGAAUCUUCCGAAAUGGGCGAAAGCCUGACGGAGCAACGCCGCGUGAGUGAUGAAGGUCUUCGGAUCGUAAAACUCUGUUAUUAGGGAAGAACAAAUGUGUAAGUAACUAUGCACGUCUUGACGGUACCUAAUCAGAAAGCCACGGCUAGCUACG